ACUCCUACGGGAGGCAGCAGUCGAGAAUAAUUCACAAUGGACGAAAGUCUGAUGGUGCAACGCCGCGUGGAGGAUGACGGUCUUCGGAUUGUAAACUCCUGUCAUCGGGGAGUAAGACCUGGGUCUUAAUAGGACACAGGGUUGAUAGUACCCGAAGAGGAAGGGACGGCUAACUUCGUGCCAGCAGCCGCGGUAAUACGAAGGUCCCGAGCGUUGUUCGGAAUCACUGGGCGUAAAGGGAGCGUAGGCGGUUUGGUAAGUCAGAUGUGAAAUCCCGGGGCUCAACCCGGAACUGCAUCCGAUACUGCCGGACUUGAGUAAUGGAGGGGUAGCUGGAAUUCUCGGUGUAGCAGUGAAAUGCGUGGAUAUCGAGAGGAACACUCGUGGCGAAGGCGAGCUACUGGACAUUUACUGACGCUGAGGCUCGAAGGCCAGGGUAGCGAAAGGGAUUAGAUACCCUGGUAGGCUCU
RNAcentral lists this ribosomal RNA (470 nucleotides) under uncultured bacterium. RNAcentral's name for it is "bacterial SSU rRNA". It matches the Rfam family "Bacterial small subunit ribosomal RNA", at positions 335 to 797 of the family's 1533-position model. The record is from RNAcentral.